UGUUAAUAAAGGCAAGGGAUGGUGGAGU
RNAcentral lists this non-coding RNA (28 nucleotides) under Rattus norvegicus (Norway rat). Lineage: Eukaryota; Metazoa; Chordata; Mammalia; Rodentia; Muridae. The record is from RNAcentral.